Molecule: long non-coding RNA, 427 nt
Filed under: Mytilus galloprovincialis (Mediterranean mussel)
Lineage: Eukaryota; Metazoa; Mollusca; Bivalvia; Mytilida; Mytilidae
Source: RNAcentral
UAUUUGAAUACUAUCAGAUUAUUACAUGGCAUUUUUCAUAUCGCAUGUAUUAUCAGCCCUAGGUUCAAUAUCAGCCCAAGAGCCGCAUGGCUCGAGGGCUGAUAUUGACCGAGGGCUGAUAAUACAUGCGAUAUGAAAAAUGACAUGUUAUGAUCUUUUUAUCAUAUGCUUCAAUAGUAGAGAAAAAUAACAGAUUCAUAUAUUGAUCCUUCUACGUGGUUCCCGAAAAGAAGUUGAAAGAGUAAAAAGUUCACGGACGUCGGACCCAAAAUUUGAUACAUUCAAUAUGAAAUCUUUCUAUCAUAUGCCUCAACAGAGAAAAAAAAAACACAUUUUAAUAUUGACGAAUCGACUAAAAAUAAUUCAACAAUAUACAUAAUAAACAUUGUUUGGAAAAGUCAACUUUUUUAAAGUAACUUUCUAAAUU